CUCUUGCUUACUAUUGGUCGUUAGAUGUCGUUCAGCCACGGAGCAUGCGUACUGGGAGGGAUAUCCGGAAUGAAAUGGGCCUCUAUGUAAGCCACAAGCGGGCAUUCAACAACUUGAAAACUGGAUUGAAAAUGAGAGACAGAGCGGCCACUCCAGAAACUUUCAAAAUCACGCUGCACCUUCUUGAUCUGCUGCAAUCCACGUGGUGAAGUAGCUCCCAUGUUGCUGUUUGGGAAUUGGAAAGGAACAUUUACUGACAGGCUGCUCAACUCAAACACUGGAUCAAGAACUGCCAGGAACACUUAAUUCCCAGGAGCUUUGAAUAUGGAAGGAACAAGUGUCAUUCACAGUGAAGAGAAACCAUACACGUGGUCUGUGUGGACAAGCCUUCAGUCAAUUGUCUGGCCUGUCAGUACGUAAAUGCAGUCAAAACUGGGUGACAACCAUAACAUCAAACAGCUCUUGCUUUAUAAUAUCAUGGUCAUGGAUCUCAGUUUGAGUUAAGCAAGGGCCACUCAUCUCCUGUCCUCCCUACAUUCUAAGUGCAAACAUGGACCAAACAGCUGAAUUCCAAAUGUGAGAGGGACUAUCCACUAUCUUAAGGCUCCAUUUGACAGAGCAUUGUAUGAAGGAAUCAUGACAAAGCGAAGUUCAAUAAGAACCAGAGAAUAUUAUUCUUCCUUGUAUAGCUGGUUUUUGAAAAGAUUGCAUCUUCAGACCUCAGUAAAUCAAAACAAGGUGUAUUUAUUCAAACUAGUACCACAUACAUGUGGAAGAGGUCUGUAAGUUUAGCUUGGAGACACUACAACUUUUACAGCUCAAAACAGCAAUAUGAAGGCAUUUUCAUGUAAGAAUGGUUGCAUAUGA
Molecule: long non-coding RNA, 867 nt
Organism: Stegostoma tigrinum
Lineage: Eukaryota; Metazoa; Chordata; Chondrichthyes; Orectolobiformes; Stegostomatidae
Exons: 3
Source: RefSeq, a predicted model, not a curated record